RNAcentral lists this ribosomal RNA (550 nucleotides) under Saccharomyces cerevisiae (brewer's yeast). RNAcentral describes it as "partial large subunit ribosomal RNA". It matches the Rfam family "Eukaryotic large subunit ribosomal RNA", at positions 88 to 652 of the family's 3401-position model. Lineage: Eukaryota; Fungi; Ascomycota; Saccharomycetes; Saccharomycetales; Saccharomycetaceae. The record is from RNAcentral.
GGCGAGUGAAGCGGCAAAAGCUCAAAUUUGAAAUCUGGUACCUUCGGUGCCCGAGUUGUAAUUUGGAGAGGGCAACUUUGGGGCCGUUCCUUGUCUAUGUUCCUUGGAACAGGACGUCAUAGAGGGUGAGAAUCCCGUGUGGCGAGGAGUGCGGUUCUUUGUAAAGUGCCUUCGAAGAGUCGAGUUGUUUGGGAAUGCAGCUCUAAGUGGGUGGUAAAUUCCAUCUAAAGCUAAAUAUUGGCGAGAGACCGAUAGCGAACAAGUACAGUGAUGGAAAGAUGAAAAGAACUUUGAAAAGAGAGUGAAAAAGUACGUGAAAUUGUUGAAAGGGAAGGGCAUUUGAUCAGACAUGGUGUUUUGUGCCCUCUGCUCCUUGUGGGUAGGGGAAUCUCGCAUUUCACUGGGCCAGCAUCAGUUUUGGUGGCAGGAUAAAUCCAUAGGAAUGUAGCUUGGCUCGGUAAGUAUUAUAGCCUGUGGGAAUACUGCCAGCUGGGACUGAGGACUGCGACGUAAGUCAAGGAUGCUGGCAUAAUGGUUAUAUGCCGCCCGU